CCUUGAUGACGACUGGCGCACGGGUGAGUAACGCGUAUCCAACCUUCCCAUAACUACGGGAUAACCCGUUGAAAGACGGCCUAAUACCGUAUGAUAUCGUUUGCUGACAUCAAAUAACGAUUAAAGGUUUAGCGGUUAUGGAUGGGGAUGCGUCUGAUUAGCUUGUUGGCGGGGUAACGGCCCACCAAGGCUACGAUCAGUAGGGGUUCUGAGAGGAAGGUCCCCCACAUUGGAACUGAGACACGGUCCAAACUCCUACGGGAGGCAGCAGCA
This 273-nucleotide ribosomal RNA is filed under the name uncultured Prevotella sp. RNAcentral describes it as "partial 16S ribosomal RNA". It matches the Rfam family "Bacterial small subunit ribosomal RNA", at positions 83 to 355 of the family's 1533-position model. Lineage: Bacteria; Pseudomonadati; Bacteroidota; Bacteroidia; Bacteroidales; Prevotellaceae. The record is from RNAcentral.